AGCUUUGCGCAGUGGCAGUAUCGUAGCCAAUGAGGUUUAUCCGGGGCGCAAUUAUUGCUAAUUGAAAACUUUUCCCAAGUCAAUUUUCACAUUAGCAGAUUUUCAAGAAUAUUAAUUUGUUACAUGUAUAACCAUAA
Small nuclear RNA from Suricata suricatta (meerkat), 137 nucleotides. Its record names the gene U4. It matches the Rfam family "U4 spliceosomal RNA". Rfam says of the family: U4 small nuclear RNA (U4 snRNA) is a component of the major U2-dependent spliceosome. The structure of U4 snRNA from yeast and human has been reported. U4 snRNA presents a k-turn RNA motif in the 5p-SL related to recognition of Snu13 protein. NCBI's taxonomy places the organism in Eukaryota, Metazoa, Chordata, Mammalia, Carnivora, Herpestidae. The record is from Ensembl.